UACGUAGGGUGCAAGCGUUAAUCGGAAUUACUGGGCGUAAAGCGUGCGCAGGCGGUGAUGUAAGACAGAUGUGAAAUCCCCGGGCUCAACCUGGGAACUGCAUUUGUGACUGGCGUGCUGGAGUGUGGCAGAGGGAGGUGGAAUUCCACGUGUAGCAGUGAAAUGCGUAGAGAUGUGGAGGAACACCGAUGGCGAAGGCAGCCUCCUGGGCCAGCACUGACGCUCAUGCACGAAAGCGUGGGGAGCAAACAGG
This 253-nucleotide ribosomal RNA is filed under the name uncultured bacterium. Its description in RNAcentral is "partial 16S ribosomal RNA". It matches the Rfam family "Bacterial small subunit ribosomal RNA", at positions 524 to 776 of the family's 1533-position model. The record is from RNAcentral.